This 90-nucleotide transfer RNA is filed under the name Salsuginibacillus halophilus. It matches the Rfam family "tRNA". From Rfam's summary of the family: Transfer RNA (tRNA) molecules are approximately 80 nucleotides in length. Their secondary structure includes four short double-helical elements and three loops (D, anti-codon, and T loops). The record is from Rfam by way of RNAcentral. Lineage: Bacteria; Bacillati; Bacillota; Bacilli; Caryophanales; Bacillaceae.
GGAGGAAUACCCAAGUCCGGCUGAAGGGGACGGUCUCGAAAACCGUUAGGGGCUUCACGGCCCGCGUGGGUUCGAAUCCCACUUCCUCCG